GACGAACCGUGCGAACGUUACUCGGAAUCAUUGGGCUUAAAGAGCACGUAGGCGGCGACGUAAGUCGAAGGUGAAAUCCCAACGGCUCAACCGUGGAAUUGCCCUCGAUACUGCGUUGCUUGAGGGAGAACGAGGCAUUCGGAACUUCCGGUGGAGCGGUGAAAUGUGUUGAUAUCGGAAGGAACGCCGGUGGCGAAAGCGGAAUGCUGGGUCUCUUCUGACGCUGAGGUGCGAAAGCUAGGGUAGCGAA
RNAcentral lists this ribosomal RNA (250 nucleotides) under uncultured bacterium. RNAcentral describes it as "partial 16S ribosomal RNA". It matches the Rfam family "Bacterial small subunit ribosomal RNA", at positions 524 to 772 of the family's 1533-position model. The record is from RNAcentral.